This 497-nucleotide ribosomal RNA is filed under the name uncultured bacterium. Its description in RNAcentral is "partial 16S ribosomal RNA". It matches the Rfam family "Bacterial small subunit ribosomal RNA", at positions 28 to 507 of the family's 1533-position model. The record is from RNAcentral.
GAUGAACGCUGGCGGCGUGCCUAAUACAUGCAAGUCGAGCGAACAGACGAGGAGCUUGCUCCUCUGACGUUAGCGGCGGACGGGUGAGUAACACGUGGAUAACCUACCUAUAAGACUGGGAUAACUUCGGGAAACCGGAGCUAAUACCGGAUAAUAUAUUGAACCGCAUGGUUCAAUAGUGAAAGACGGUUUUGCUGUCACUUAUAGAUGGAUCCGCGCCGCAUUAGCUAGUUGGUAGGGUAAAGGCUUACCAAGGCAACGAUGGGUAGCCGACCUGAGAGGGUGGUCGGCCACACUGGAACUGAGACACGGUCCAGACUCCUACGGGAGGCAGCAGUAGGGAAUCUUCCGCAAAGGGCGAAAGCCUGACGGAGCAACGCCGCGUGAGUGAUGAAGGUCUUCGGAUCGUAAAACUCUGUUAUUAGGGAAGAACAAAUGUGUAAGUAACUAUGCACGUCUUGACGGUACCUAAUCAGAAAGCCACGGCUAACUACGUG